Populus trichocarpa (black cottonwood) is the source of this 213-nucleotide non-coding RNA. The record is from Rfam. NCBI's taxonomy places the organism in Eukaryota, Viridiplantae, Streptophyta, Magnoliopsida, Malpighiales, Salicaceae.
ACGACCUUACUUGAACAGGAUCUGUUCUAUAGGAUCGUACCUCUGUAUCCUUUAUCACUAAGGAGACAGGAACCUAAGUCUGGUUGAGGAAUCAUGACCGUGUGAUCAUAGCGUGAGUAAUGGCUUGAUGAUCCUCGUGAUCAUCAUGGCUGUAGAGGAUCGUUCCCGAGUCAUGUUCUGGCUUGGGAUGGUCAUGCGGUUGUCUGACAGACU